This 533-nucleotide ribosomal RNA is filed under the name Entamoeba sp. RNAcentral's name for it is "bacterial SSU rRNA". It matches the Rfam family "Eukaryotic small subunit ribosomal RNA", at positions 52 to 592 of the family's 1831-position model. Lineage: Eukaryota; Evosea; Mastigamoebida; Endamoebidae. The record is from RNAcentral.
UGCAUGUGUAAGUUUAAAGACCAAGUAGGAUGAAACUGCGGACGGCUCAUUAUAACAGUAGUAGUUUCGUUGGUUAGUCGGUACAAGGUUAACUUUGUGAAUGAUAAAGCUAAUACUUGAGACGAUCCGGGAAGUAUCGAUACUUUGCGGCGCUCGGCAGCGAGGUUGGCGAUAAAUGACAUUCACUUGUGAAAAAGGAUGCCGCGACAAUUGAGGAAAGCGACGCUUUUAACAAGUAACCAAUGGGAAUUUCUGAUCUAUCAAUUUGUUGGUAGUAUCGAGGACUAGUAAUAUUAUAACGGAUAACGAGGAAUUGGGGUUCGACAUCGGAGAGGGAGCUUUACAGAUGGCUACCACUGCUAAGGAAGGCAGCAGGCUCGUAAAUUAGCCACUUUCGACCCGAAGAGGUAGUGACGACAAAUAACUCUUGGCGCCCCUCGGGGUGACUUGAAGGAAUGAUUUAGAAGUAAAUUCUCUAAAGAAAUCAAUUGGAGGGCAAGUCUGGUGCCAGCAGCCGCGGUAAUUCCAGCUCC